Molecule: ribosomal RNA, 470 nt
Filed under: uncultured bacterium
Lineage: Bacteria
Description: SSU rRNA
Rfam family: Bacterial small subunit ribosomal RNA
Source: RNAcentral
AGCCUGAACGCUGGCGGCGUGGCUAAGACAUGCAAGUCGUACGGGUGUAGCAAUACACCAGUGGCGAACGGGUGAGUAAUGUAUCGCUAAUGUGCCCCGGAUUCUGGGAUAGCUAUCCGAAAGGGUAGGUAAUACCAGAUGAUAUAACUUUGCCGCAUGGCAGAGUUCUCAAAGGAGUAAUCCGCUCUGGGAGCAGGCGAUAUCGUAUCAGCUAGUUGGUGAGGUAACGGCUCACCAAGGCGACGACGCGUAGCCGGACUGAGAGGUUGGCCGGCCACAUUGGGACUGAGACACUGCCCAGACUCCUACGGGGGGCUGCAGUAACGAAUCUUCCGCAAUGCACGAAAGUGUGACGGAGCGACGCCGCGUGUGGGACGAAGCCCUUCGGGGUGUAAACCACUGUCAGGGGUUAGAAAGUUCUGAUCAACCCCAGAGGAAGGCACGGCUAACUCUGUGCCAGCAGCCGCGGU